This 483-nucleotide ribosomal RNA is filed under the name uncultured bacterium. Its description in RNAcentral is "partial 16S ribosomal RNA". It matches the Rfam family "Bacterial small subunit ribosomal RNA", at positions 30 to 506 of the family's 1533-position model. The record is from RNAcentral.
AUUGAACGCUGGCGGCAGGCCUAACACAUGCAAGUCGAGCGGAUGAAGGGAGCUUGCUCCUGGAUUCAGCGGCGGACGGGUGAGUAAUGCCUAGGAAUCUGCCUGGUAGUGGGGGAUAACGUCCGGAAACGGGCGCUAAUACCGCAUACGUCCUGAGGGAGAAAGUGGGGGAUCUUCGGACCUCACGCUAUCAGAUGAGCCUAGGUCGGAUUAGCUAGUUGGUGGGGUAAAGGCCUACCAAGGCGACGAUCCGUAGCUGGUCUGAGAGGAUGAUCAGUCACACUGGAACUGAGACACGGUCCAGACUCCGACGGGAGGCAGCAGUGGGGAAUAUUGGACAAUGGGCGAAAGCCUGAUCCAGCCAUGCCGCGUGUGUGAAGAAGGUCUUCGGAUUGUAAAGCACUUUAAGUUGGGAGGAAGGGCAGUAAGUUAAUACCUUGCUGUUUUGACGUUACCAACAGAAUAAGCACCGGCUAACUUCGU